Molecule: long non-coding RNA, 71 nt
Organism: Sinocyclocheilus rhinocerous
Lineage: Eukaryota; Metazoa; Chordata; Actinopteri; Cypriniformes; Cyprinidae
Exons: 3
Source: RefSeq, a predicted model, not a curated record
UGAAGUAGUUUAAAAAAAAGGAAUAAUACUUACAAGCAAAUAUUUGUAAAAUGAUGUACACUGACAUGAUG